This 154-nucleotide transfer RNA is filed under the name Euroglyphus maynei. It matches the Rfam family "tRNA". From Rfam's summary of the family: Transfer RNA (tRNA) molecules are approximately 80 nucleotides in length. Their secondary structure includes four short double-helical elements and three loops (D, anti-codon, and T loops). The record is from Rfam by way of RNAcentral. Lineage: Eukaryota; Metazoa; Arthropoda; Arachnida; Sarcoptiformes; Pyroglyphidae.
GGCCUAGUGGUCUAGGGGUAUGAUUCACGCUUAGGGUUUAACACAGGUGAUUUAUAUUUCUUUAAGUUGUCUGUUUAAAAUUCUUAAGCAUUAAAAAUUAGUUGCUUUCACACUAAUUUGCGUGAGGUCCCGGGUUCAAAUCCCGGCUGGGCCC